UCUGCCAUAGCUCAAGCGGUAGAGCGCACCCCCUGCUAAGGGUGAGGUCGCGUGUUCAAACCAACCUGGCAGCA
This 74-nucleotide transfer RNA is filed under the name Alphaproteobacteria bacterium. RNAcentral describes it as "tRNA-OTHER". Lineage: Bacteria; Pseudomonadati; Pseudomonadota; Alphaproteobacteria. The record is from RNAcentral.